GGGCCUGUUUCCUGGAUGGCAUCGGGACACCAAAGGGGUGAUAAUGCCAUGUUCAAAGCCUCAGAGGGAAAAAGAUGAUCCUGAAGGUAAGAGUUCUUUACCCUUCCUCAAGAACUGUUUAUAAAAAUGCAAGAAAAAACUUAUUUUCCUAACAAGUUCCGGAGAAAUCCAGCAUCCCUCUUUUCCUCUCCAAGGGCGGUGUCUUGAAAGCAGGUAUGCAGUGCCCUGGCCCACCUUCCCCACACUGCCUAAUGCCCAUGUAGCCAACGCUGAAGCCAAAGAACACUACUCUUCUUUUAAACCACGUCGCAUGCUCUGAGAAUGCAGUUGCACCCUGGCAUCCAGGACAGAGGUCACCAUUAGCCUUUGCAGGUGCCACUGAGCAGGCCCAACACAGGAGGCAGGUGCUCCUGCACCAUCCCAGUGAAUUCCAGCACACGGGAGGCUCCACCCUCAAGACAUGAAGACGGGAAGCCAAGGAGGCUCUGUAGUUCACAGCGUUGGUCUCAGUUUUCAGUUCAAUUCCAUUUCAUCAGGGAAAGCA
Molecule: long non-coding RNA, 544 nt
Filed under: Chinchilla lanigera (long-tailed chinchilla)
Lineage: Eukaryota; Metazoa; Chordata; Mammalia; Rodentia; Chinchillidae
Description: lncRNA (ENSCLAG00000026737.1)
Source: RNAcentral